CAUGGAAACCAAUGGAAUCACCAACAACAUUGUACUGAUAACUAUCCCUCAGUCUUGCAACAUUGGGAACUAGACUUGCGUAAAAAUGCAUUUCAGAUGGGUUGUACAAAUUAAAUUCCUUUUAAUCUAUGCCCGAACAAAUCAUUCCAUUCAGGAUUAACCUGUGGAAUCUUAUUCAAUCCAGAUCAAUCUAUGUUCGAGCAUAG
Non-coding RNA from Pelobates cultripes (western spadefoot toad), 206 nucleotides. NCBI's taxonomy places the organism in Eukaryota, Metazoa, Chordata, Amphibia, Anura, Pelobatidae. The record is from the annotation of a GenBank genome assembly.